Molecule: ribosomal RNA, 756 nt
Filed under: uncultured bacterium
Lineage: Bacteria
Description: bacterial SSU rRNA
Rfam family: Bacterial small subunit ribosomal RNA
Source: RNAcentral
AGAGUUUGAUCAUGGCUCAGAAUCAACGCUGGCGGCGUGCCUAACACAUGCAAGUCGCACGAGAAAGGGGCUUCGGCUCUGAGUAAAGUGGCGCACGGGUGAGUAACACGUGACUAAUCUACCCUCGAGUGGGGAAUAACCUAGAGAAAUCUGGGCUAAUACCGCAUAACACUUACGAGUCAAAGCAGCAAUGCGCUUGGGGAGGAGGUCGCGGCCGAUUAGCUAGUUGGCGGGGUAAUGGCCCACCAAGGCGAUGAUCGGUAUCCGGCCUGAGAGGGCGCACGGACACACCGGAACUGAAACACGGUCCAGACUCCUACGGGAGGCAGCAGUGGGGAAUUUUGCGCAAUGGGGGAAACCCUGACGCAGCAACGCCGCGUGGAGGAUGAAAUAUCUUGGUAUGUAAACUCCUUUCGAUGGGGAAGAUUAUGACGGUACCCAUAGAAGAAGCCCCGGCUAACUUCGUGCCAGCAGCCGCGGUAAUACGAGGGGGGCAAGCGUUGUUCGGAUUUAUUGGGCGUAAAGGGUGCGUAGGCGGUUUGAUAAGUCUGAUGUGAAAUCUAUGGGCUCAACCCAUAGUCUGCAUUAGAAACUGUCGGGCUUGAGUAUGGGAGAGGUGAGUGGAAUUUCCGGUGUAGCGGUGAAAUGCGUAGAUAUCGGAAGGAACACCUGUGGCGAAAGCGGCUCACUGGACCAUAACUGACGCUGAUGCACGAAAGCUAGGGGAGCAAACAGGAUUAGAUACCCUAGUAGUCC